This 1315-nucleotide ribosomal RNA is filed under the name Stenocarpella macrospora. RNAcentral's name for it is "eukaryotic LSU rRNA". It matches the Rfam family "Eukaryotic large subunit ribosomal RNA", at positions 68 to 1414 of the family's 3401-position model. Lineage: Eukaryota; Fungi; Ascomycota; Sordariomycetes; Diaporthales; Diaporthaceae. The record is from RNAcentral.
ACAGGGAUUGCCCUAGUAACGGCGAGUGAAGCGGCAACAGCUCAAAUUUGAAAUCUGGCCUCGGCCCGAGUUGUAAUUUGCAGAGGAUGCUUCUGGCGCGGUGCCCUCCGAGUUCCCUGGAACGGGACGCCACAGAGGGUGAGAGCCCCGUAUGGUCGGACACCAAGCCUGUGUGAAGCUCCUUCGACGAGUCGAGUAGUUUGGGAAUGCUGCUCUAAAUGGGAGGUAAAUCUCUUCUAAAGCUAAAUACCGGCCAGAGACCGAUAGCGCACAAGUAGAGUGAUCGAAAGAUGAAAAGCACCUUGAAAAGGGGGUUAAAUAGUACGUGAAAUUGUUGAAAGGGAAGCACUUGUGACCAGACUUGGGCCGGGCGGCUCAUCAGGGGUUCUCCCCUGUGCACUCCGCCCGGCACAGGCCAGCAUCGGUCUUCGCGGGGGGACAAGACCGCCGGGAACGUAGCACCCUCCGGGGUGUGUUAUAGCCCGGCGGACGAUACCCCCGCGGGGACCGAGGUCCGCGCUCCGCAAGGAUGCUGGCGUAAUGGUCACCAGUGACCCGUCUUGAAACACGGACCAAGGAGUCGUCCAUUAGAGCGAGCGUUUGGGUGUCAAACCCGCACGCGUAAUGAAAGUGAACGCAGGUGAGAGCUUCGGCGCAUCAUCGACCGAUCCUGAUGUUCUCGGAAGGAUUUGAGUAAGAGUUUUAACGGACGGACCCGAAAGACAGUGAACUAUGCUUGUAUAGGGUGAAGCCAGAGGAAACUCUGGUGGAGGCUCGCAGCGGUUCUGACGUGCAAAUCGAUCGUCAAAUAUGAGCAUGGGGGCGAAAGACUAAUCGAACUGUCUAGUAGCUGGUUACCGCCGAAGUUUCCCUCAGGAUAGCAGUGUUGAUCUUCAGUUUUAUGAGGUAAAGCGAAUGAUUAGGGACUCGGGGGCUAUAUAUUGCCUUCAUCCAUUCUCAAACUUUAAAUAUGUAAGAAGCCCUUGUUACUUAGUUGAACGUGGGCAUUCGAAUGUACCAACACUAGUGGGCCAUUUUUGGUAAGCAGAACUGGCGAUGCGGGAUGAACCGAACGCGGGGUUAAGGCGCCAGAGUGUACGCUCAUCAGACACCACAAAAGGCGUUAGUACAUCUUGACAGCAGGACGGUGGCCAUGGAAGUCGGAAUCCGCUAAGGACUGUGUAACAACUCACCUGCCGAAUGUACUAGCCCUGAAAAUGGAUGGCGCUCAAGCGUACCGCCCAUACCCCGCCCCCAGGGUAGAAACGAUGCCCUGGGGAGUAGGCGGCCGUGGGGGUCAGUGACGAAGCCUAGG